GAUGAACGCUGGCGGCGUGCCUAAUACAUGCAAGUCGAGCGAACAGACGAGGAGCUUGCUCCUCUGACGUUAGCGGCGGACGGGUGAGUAACACGUGGAUAACCUACCUAUAAGACUGGGAUAACUUCGGGAAACCGGAGCUAAUACCGGAUAAUAUAUUGAACCGCAUGGUUCAAUAGUGAAAGACGGUUUUGCUGUUACUUAUAGAUGGAUCCGCGCCGCAUUAGCUAGUUGGUAAGGUAACGGCUUACCAAGGCAACGAUGCGUAGCCGACCUGAGAGGGUGAUCGGCCACACUGGAACUGAGACACGGUCCAGACUCCUACGGGAGGCAGCAGUAGGGAAUCUUCGGCAAUGGGCGAAAGCCUGACGGAGCAACGCCGCGUGAGUGAUGAAGGUCUUCGGAUCGUAAAACUCUGUUAUUAGGGAAGAACAAAUGUGUAAGUAACUAUGCACGUCUUGACGGUACCUAAUCAGAAAGCCACGGCUAACUACGUG
This 497-nucleotide ribosomal RNA is filed under the name uncultured bacterium. RNAcentral describes it as "partial 16S ribosomal RNA". It matches the Rfam family "Bacterial small subunit ribosomal RNA", at positions 28 to 507 of the family's 1533-position model. The record is from RNAcentral.